This 74-nucleotide transfer RNA is filed under the name Candidatus Sericytochromatia bacterium. Its description in RNAcentral is "tRNA-Met". It matches the Rfam family "tRNA". Rfam says of the family: Transfer RNA (tRNA) molecules are approximately 80 nucleotides in length. Their secondary structure includes four short double-helical elements and three loops (D, anti-codon, and T loops). The record is from RNAcentral. Lineage: Bacteria; Bacillati; Candidatus Sericytochromatia.
GGCGGUGUAGCUCAGCUGGUUAGAGCACUCGGUUCAUACCCGAGUUGUCGGUAGUUCAAAUCUACUCACCGCUA